UACGGAGGGGGCUAGCGUUGUUCGGAAUUACUGGGCGUAAAGCGCACGUAGGCGGCUUUGUAAGUUAGAGGUGAAAGCCCGGGGCUCAACUCCGGAACUGCCUUUAAGACUGCAUCGCUAGAAUUGUGGAGAGGUGAGUGGAAUUCCGAGUGUAGAGGUGAAAUUCGUAGAUAUUGGGAAGAACACCGGUGGCGAAGGCGGCGCUCUGGACCGAGACUGACGCUGAGGCGCGAAAGCGUGGGGAGCAAACAGG
RNAcentral lists this ribosomal RNA (253 nucleotides) under uncultured bacterium. RNAcentral describes it as "partial 16S ribosomal RNA". It matches the Rfam family "Bacterial small subunit ribosomal RNA", at positions 524 to 776 of the family's 1533-position model. The record is from RNAcentral.